Molecule: small nuclear RNA, 131 nt
Filed under: Sorex araneus (European shrew)
Lineage: Eukaryota; Metazoa; Chordata; Mammalia; Eulipotyphla; Soricidae
Description: U4 spliceosomal RNA (ENSSARG00000016671.1)
Rfam family: U4 spliceosomal RNA (bases 1-84)
About the family: U4 small nuclear RNA (U4 snRNA) is a component of the major U2-dependent spliceosome. The structure of U4 snRNA from yeast and human has been reported.
Source: RNAcentral
AGCUUUGCACAGUGGCAGUAUCAUAGCCAAUGAAGUUUAUCCAAGGUGCGAUUAUUGCUAAUUGAAAACUUUUCCUAAAAUCUCAGGGCUAGGACGAAUGGAGACAUUACUGAGACCGCUAGAGAAAAUCG